AAAGGCGUUGGAGAGCGUGGUGGCCAAGGUGAUGAGCGCCAACAAAGCAACCAGCAGGACUUUCCAGGGCAGGGCGAUGGAGUCCUGGUAAAUGUAGCCGUCGGCGCUGCAGUUGUGGGAGAGGUAAAAUCGUCAUCGAAGACUCCAGCACUGAACAACCCUUUCCUGUGUAGCGAUAACCCAUAGCCAGGCUCCUCUCAAACAGCCUCACUAUCUCUGAAAGUUGCAUUUCAAAGCAAAACUCCUGCAAGUACCAUUUACAAGAAGGAUCUACGCGAGGCACAAAGCAAAUCUCAAGCAAACUGAAACUGACAGUUAAUCAAAAAAGAUGAUUAAGAAAAUAACCGUAAUCAAAGGAAAUAACUUCUCCAUCAACAAUCAGCAUACGCCACGACUGCAAGCUCCUGCUGCCUGCACCUCCUUGCCAUGAUGGACUGUACCUUGAACCCUGUGCUGAAAGAAGCCUGUUCUUUCAUAAGUUGCUUUCAUCAGAGUAUUAUGUCACAGCAACAGAAGAGAAACUAGGACAGCAUAAAUAAAAUUACAUUUCAUAAAUUUGCCAGCACCCAAAUCUAACUCAACCCUCCCAAGUAUACAGAGCCAUGUUCUAUCUUGUCCUUGUCAAAUACCCCUGUCUUUCUCUCAGGUACUUCCAAAGGCUGAUGGCUGACACCUUGGCAACAAAAAUGUAUAACUACAUUGUCUUGGUUCAUUCUUCACUCAGUAGAUUAUUGCUUUGGAUCCUAAAUGCCAAUAUUUUUUCUGUAUAUAUUAAAUGAAAAGGUCUAAGACAGUGAUGACUUCUCUUGUUAGAAAAGUUUACUUUUCUGCCAAAUGUAUACUCUAUUUUCAGUAUUAGAGUAUGCUUUUAUUAUGUCUAUUUUUUUCUCUACUACCGCUUGACUAUAACAGACUAGUUAUGUGAAUUUGUCCUAACGUAGUAAAUUUUAAGGCUAAAACUUUGGGCUGUGGUGAGUUCUCAGAUCAUUGUCAGUUUGUUUCCAAAAGGAAUAUGAGACCCCAGUUCUCUCUUAUUCUUCCUUCUGCUUCUUAAUCACGAGGUAAUGCAGUUUACCAUUUGCCCCAUCUUGGUCCUCUGGCAUCCUUAUCUCUAGUCCAAAUAUAGGUUAACAAAAUCUUAGAAUUUCCAAUCCAAAAGCAUGAGCCAAUAUGCACCUUUCAUAUUCAUUAAUCAAUCAUUUAACAUUUGGGUUGUUAUAGUAACAAGAAGCUAACUAACAAAGUCCCUUCAUGUCCUGAGAGAGGUAUCAUAUAUUUUUUUAAAAUGUUUUUUUGGUGUUAUUUUCAUUAUGUUUGCAUUUUAAGUAUGAGUGUGUAUAGAAAAUUGGCAUUUAGUUGAGUAAGAUUGCUGAGUAUUUUGAGUCAUAAAAAUUGGGUUGUCAUUUGUUUUAUAUUUUUGUGCAUAUGUAUGUUUAUUUUUACUUAUUAUUAAUGUUUUAUUGUUUAAAAACAGAUGAAUUC
Molecule: long non-coding RNA, 1482 nt
Filed under: Mus musculus (house mouse)
Lineage: Eukaryota; Metazoa; Chordata; Mammalia; Rodentia; Muridae
Description: RIKEN cDNA D430036J16 gene, transcript variant 5 (D430036J16Rik)
Source: RNAcentral